AAAUUGUUAAUUGAUGAUGUUGGGGAACUAAAACCAACUAUUUUCUGUGUUGUUCCCCAUGUGCUUGAUAGAGUGUACUCAGGUUUGACACAGAAGAUUUCUUCUGGGGGCUUCUUGAAGAAGACAUUAUUCAACUUUGCUUAUUCAUA
Molecule: long non-coding RNA, 149 nt
Organism: Glycine soja
Lineage: Eukaryota; Viridiplantae; Streptophyta; Magnoliopsida; Fabales; Fabaceae
Exons: 2
Source: RefSeq, a predicted model, not a curated record